This 71-nucleotide transfer RNA is filed under the name Marmota marmota marmota (Alpine marmot). It matches the Rfam family "tRNA". From Rfam's summary of the family: Transfer RNA (tRNA) molecules are approximately 80 nucleotides in length. Their secondary structure includes four short double-helical elements and three loops (D, anti-codon, and T loops). The record is from Rfam by way of RNAcentral. Lineage: Eukaryota; Metazoa; Chordata; Mammalia; Rodentia; Sciuridae. RNAcentral also lists the same sequence under 2 other names.
GUGGUUGUGGCUCAGUGGCAGAGCGCUUGCCUAGCACAUGUGAGGCCCUGGGUUCAAUCCCCAGCACCACA